CGCCGCCUUCCUGACUUGUGCAGCAAUUCAUAUUAGCUACACCUUGAAAGCUGCCCAUAUGUCCAUCAACAAAUGAAUGGAUAAAGAAAAUGUGGUUUCUACACAAAAUGGAGUGCUACUCUGCCAUAAAGAAAGGUCCCAAUUCCAUUCUGCCUUCAAGUGGACUGAUGAGCUGGGUUGGAAUGAACAGCGUACCCAGACUGCUCUUCCACAAAGAUUCAGGUAGCAGGACACCAGUAUCUUCAAUAUCCAACCUGGAGGGAGUGUAUUUUCCCUAACAACCUGAAGAGCUUGGACAAAGGUUCUUCCCAGUUGAGACAGAUGAGACCACAUUCCGUCGCCUGAUUGCAGCUUCUUGGAUCCAUAAGAAAAUUGACACCCCUUCACCUGACCCUUCUGUCAAAGCUGCUAUAAUAUAAUCCAUGAGUCACAAUAUCUACUGAUGCUCCAAGAACCAAGGCUAAUUGGAUGCAUGAACAC
RNAcentral lists this long non-coding RNA (480 nucleotides) under Heterocephalus glaber (naked mole-rat). Its description in RNAcentral is "lncRNA (ENSHGLG00000039459.1)". Lineage: Eukaryota; Metazoa; Chordata; Mammalia; Rodentia; Bathyergidae. The record is from RNAcentral.